RNAcentral lists this ribosomal RNA (252 nucleotides) under uncultured bacterium. RNAcentral describes it as "partial 16S ribosomal RNA". It matches the Rfam family "Bacterial small subunit ribosomal RNA", at positions 524 to 776 of the family's 1533-position model. The record is from RNAcentral.
UACAGAGGUCUCGAGCGUUGUUCGGAUUCAUUGGGCGUAAAGGGUGCGUAGGUGGCGUGGUAAGUCUGGUGUGAAAUCCCGGGGCUCAACCCCGGAACUGCACUGGAUACUGCCAUGCUUGAGUACUGGAGAGGAGAUUGGAAUUUACGGUGUAGCAGUGAAAUGCGUAGAUAUCGUAAGGAAGACCAGUGCGAAGGCGAAUCUCUGGACAGUUACUGACACUGAGGCAGCGAAGGCCAGGGAGCAAACGGG